Molecule: ribosomal RNA, 484 nt
Filed under: uncultured bacterium
Lineage: Bacteria
Description: partial 16S ribosomal RNA
Rfam family: Bacterial small subunit ribosomal RNA
Source: RNAcentral
AUUGAACGCUGGCGGCAUGCUUUACACAUGCAAGUCGAACGGCAGCGCGGGCUUCGGCCUGGCGGCGAGUGGCGAACGGGUGAGUAAUGCAUCGGAACGUGCCCAGUAUUGGGGGAUAGCCCGGCGAAAGCCGGAUUAAUACCGCAUACGACCUGAGGGUGAAAGCGGGGGACCGAAAGGCCUCGCGCUAUUGGAGCGGCCGAUGUCGGAUUAGCUAGUUGGUGGGGUAAAGGCUUACCAAGGCGACGAUCCGUAGCUGGUCUGAGAGGACGACCAGCCACACUGGGACUGAGACACGGCCCAGACUCCUACGGGAGGCAGCAGUGGGGAAUUUUGGACAAUGGGGGCAACCCUGAUCCAGCUAUGCCGCGUGCGGGAAGAAGGCCUUCGGGUUGUAAACCGCUUUUAUUCGGGAAGAACUCCUCUGGGCUAAUACCCCGGGGGGAUGACGGUACCGGAAGAAUAAGCACCGGCUAACUACGUG